GCGCCUGUAGCUCAGCGGAUAGAGCACCGGUCUUCGGAACCGGUGGUCGUGGGUUCGAAUCCCUCCAGGCGCG
Molecule: transfer RNA, 73 nt
Filed under: Chloroflexota bacterium
Lineage: Bacteria; Bacillati; Chloroflexota
Description: Chloroflexi bacterium (sediment metagenome) tRNA-Arg
Rfam family: tRNA
About the family: Transfer RNA (tRNA) molecules are approximately 80 nucleotides in length.
Source: RNAcentral